RNAcentral lists this transfer RNA (76 nucleotides) under Candidatus Cloacimonadota bacterium. RNAcentral describes it as "tRNA-Gly". It matches the Rfam family "tRNA". From Rfam's summary of the family: Transfer RNA (tRNA) molecules are approximately 80 nucleotides in length. Their secondary structure includes four short double-helical elements and three loops (D, anti-codon, and T loops). The record is from RNAcentral. RNAcentral also lists the same sequence under 2 other names. Lineage: Bacteria; Pseudomonadati; Candidatus Cloacimonadota.
GCGGGCGUAGCUCAGUUGGUAGAGCAUCAGCUUCCCAAGCUGAGGGUCGCGGGUCCGAGUCCCGUCGCCCGCUCCA